RNAcentral lists this long non-coding RNA (972 nucleotides) under Mytilus galloprovincialis (Mediterranean mussel). The record is from RNAcentral. Lineage: Eukaryota; Metazoa; Mollusca; Bivalvia; Mytilida; Mytilidae.
GGCGUACAUGUAAACAUGACCUAGCUACGCCACUGUUGCCACAGGUUAGUUUUUUUAAUUGGUUGUAUUUUUGUGGGCUAUAUCAAACUGGAUAGAACAAAUCAAGAAAACGCCCGUUCACAUGCUGUUAACAGAGCUUGUUAUUCAAUGGUUUCGUUUGUUAUUAUACAUCAUAAUUGUAUUUCGUUCAUUGGUUUGUACUUAAAUCCGGCGCAAGUUUCCCGUUUCAGUUGUUUUAAGGGCUUUUAAUAGCUGACUCUGUGGUAUGGGUUUUACUCAUUGUUGAAGACCGUCCGAUGUCCUAUAGUCGUUAUCUUUUUAUCAUUUGAUCUCUGGUUGAGAUCUGCCUCAUUGGUAAUCAUACCACAUCUUCUUAUUUGUAUGUGCGUAUCCAUAUGCAUGGUAUCUUAACAUAUUGAUAGAUACAAAUUAAAGUAUCGGUAAAUGUUCCCUUAUUGCAGACAGACAGAUCAGAAAGUAUGCACGCGUAAAAACUCGUCGCUGUCAAGCUGAUGAGCAAAUAUGGAGUCGUUCAGUUAGGUUGUUUCUGAGAAAAGUACCAAACAUAUGGUUAUACGAUCAGACAAAGAAUAAACAAAAUGUUAUACUACAACUUCAUUGUCGGUCAAUUCAGAAAAUCAUAACAUGAAAUUGCACGAAACUGCUGUAAUUACAAAACAAGAAGUACUCUGAUAAACAAAUUUAAUGAUACUUUUAGAUAUUUGGAUGAUAUUUUGGCUCUCAAUAAUGACGACUUCAGUAUGUAUAUUAACGAAAUUUAUCCUGUUGAACUUACUUUAAAUAAAGCUAAUACUAACAAUGACCACUGCCCUUUUCUCGAUCUUGAUAUCUAUAUCACUAAUGGAAAGCUGAAUACUAAAAUUUAUGAUAAAAGGGAUGAUUUUUCAUUUCCUAUCGUUAAUUAUCCGUUUUUAGAUGGUGACGUUCUCUUGUCACCAUCUUACGGUGUUU